AGCUGACGAGUCCCAAAUAGGACGAAAUGUACAUCAU
This 37-nucleotide non-coding RNA is filed under the name Trichobilharzia regenti. The record is from RNAcentral. Lineage: Eukaryota; Metazoa; Platyhelminthes; Trematoda; Strigeidida; Schistosomatidae.